Oncorhynchus tshawytscha (Chinook salmon) is the source of this 403-nucleotide long non-coding RNA. Lineage: Eukaryota; Metazoa; Chordata; Actinopteri; Salmoniformes; Salmonidae. The record is from Ensembl.
GCAUUUUCUUCUGUAUUUGUUUACGUUUUCUAUCAAGUUAAUAAAGAAAAUGGUGUUAACUGUGAAUGUGUUCUAUUUGUUCAACUAGCAAACCAAAUGUCACCACAGUAUAAUGAGUCAAUAUUGACGCAAAAUGCAGUGUUGGAUGACUUCUUGAGAAUAACCAAAAGGAGGAACACAUUAAACACAUUUGGAAAUCAUGAUCAGUCGUGGUAACAAAUAUAACUUCAUGUAACAUGCAAUAAAAACUUUAUAAACAGAUGCUUCACAAAAAAAUGACAACAAUAUAUUACAUUGAGGAGGCAGGGUAGCCUAGUGGUUAGAGUGUAGAGGUGGCAGGGUAGCCUAGUGGUUAGAGUGUAGAGGCGGCAGGGUAGCCUAGUGGUUAGAGUGUAGAGGAGGC